CGCAAGCCUGACGGAGCAAGAACGCGUGCGGGAUGACGGCCUAAUGGUUGUAAACCGCUUUUCUCUGGGAAGAUGAUGACGGUACCAGAGGAAUCAGNCUCGGCUAACUCCGUGCCAGCAGCCGCGGUAAUACGGAGGAGGCAAGCGUUAUCCGGAAUUAUUGGGCGUAAAGCGUCCGUAAGUGGUUAUUCAAGUCUGCUGUCAAAGCGUGGGGCUUAACUCCAUAGAGGCAGUGGAAACUGGAUGACUUGAGUGCGGUAGGGGUCGAGGGAAUUCCCAGUGUAGCGGUGAAAUGCGUAGAUAUUGGGAAGAACACCAGUGGCGAAAGCGCUCGACUGGGCCUGCACUGACACUGAGGGACGAAAGCUAAGGGAGCG
This 377-nucleotide ribosomal RNA is filed under the name uncultured cyanobacterium. RNAcentral describes it as "bacterial SSU rRNA". It matches the Rfam family "Bacterial small subunit ribosomal RNA", at positions 376 to 770 of the family's 1533-position model. The record is from RNAcentral. Lineage: Bacteria; Bacillati; Cyanobacteriota.